Long non-coding RNA from Quercus lobata, 949 nucleotides. RefSeq lists it as uncharacterized. Lineage: Eukaryota; Viridiplantae; Streptophyta; Magnoliopsida; Fagales; Fagaceae. The record is from RefSeq and is a predicted model, not a curated record. The transcript is spliced from 2 exons.
ACUGCUUCACAGUUGAUGUUGGUAAAUAUGUUAAGAUUUUUUUUAUGGGUUUCUGACAAAGAAGGUUUGGUUUUGGACUAGCUCCUCAAAACUAAUCCAUUAUUUGCAAGAAAGAAAUAGAUUUCCUGGUUUUAUUGUAUGUACAAUGCUUGAUGUGGAUAUUUUAAUUGAGGAUUUUGAUCUGCAUUUAUUCAAUGAAAUAUGGACUUAUCAAAAGAAAAAAAGAAAGAAAAAGAAAUUGAAGAUUUAAAUUGAUAUUUUAUUAGGAAGGUUAUCAGGCCUCUUUUUCUGUAGGCCCAUGAAUCGUGAUAACACUCUUAACAGUGCUUGCUAAACAAAACAUGACAUGGCCAAAACUAGUGCUGUAGUAGUUGACGUUGUUCUUAUGUUUAAUUUAUUUAUUGUUCCUCUACCCAUCAAAAUUGUCACAUUUUAUGAUUUUUAGUUCUAUUUAUUAUUUAAGUGUGCGGGGUUCAAGUCUUAAGAGUGGUCACUUGCCUCACUUCAUGCAAUAAAAUGCAGGAGAGUAGACUGUAUCCAAGUCACCCAUCCUAAGAAUCCACUAUAGUGGAAAUGGCAUUGGAUAAUGACCCUUUUAUGUUUAUCUGUGAUGCAGCUCUUCUUGGCUUUGUUGAAGGUCCUCUGUUUACCCUGCAGUGUCUCUGUGAGGUGACUACUUCAUUUGGGUGACAGAUGGGAUGCUUGCACAUCUCCAAAUCCUAUUGGAAGCACGAGCUAUUUAUCCUAAUCUUUCAAAAGCUUGGUUUAGCUCCUGAAAAGGUAUACUAAUUUUUGUGUUGUUUCUGUUUGUCGAUGUUGAAAUCUUCUAUGAUUUAUUGCCCUGUUAAGCGCAAGUUGUGUGGGUUUUCAAGUCUUAGGCUGUAUGGUGCAAUUGUAAAAGUCUCAGGUUUUCAAGUGCAAGUGCGCAGGUCAAAGUCUUGAUAGCAGA